This 511-nucleotide ribosomal RNA is filed under the name uncultured bacterium. Its description in RNAcentral is "bacterial SSU rRNA". It matches the Rfam family "Bacterial small subunit ribosomal RNA", at positions 1002 to 1509 of the family's 1533-position model. The record is from RNAcentral.
AGAGAUGGAUUGGUGCCUUCGGGAACGUUAGUAUACAGGUGCUGCAUGGCUGUCGUCAGCUCGUGUCGUGAGAUGUUGGGUUAAGUCCCGNAACGAGCGCAACCCUUUUCCUUAUUUGCCAGCGGGUCAUGCCGGGAACUUUAAGGAUACUGCCAGUGACAAACUGGAGGAAGGCGGGGACGACGUCAAGUCAUCAUGGCCCUUACGGCCAGGGCUACACACGUGCUACAAUGGUCGGUACAAAGGGUUGCUACCUCGCGAGAGGAUGCUAAUCUCAAAAAGCCGAUCGUAGUCCGGAUCGCAGUCUGCAACUCGACUGCGUGAAGUCGGAAUCGCUAGUAAUCGCGGAUCAGAAUGCCGCGGUCGAAUACGUUCCCGGGCCUUGUACACACCGCCCGUCACACCAUGGGAGUUUGUUGCACCAGAAGUAGGUAGUCUAACCGCAAGGAGGACGCUUACCACGGUGUGGCCGAUGACUGGGGUGAAGUCGUAACAAGGUAAGCGUAGAUGA